UUUUAAAUUAGGCCUAUUUUUAUUUUUGAAAGGUUAAAAAUAUGGAAUAAUUUCUGGAAAAUAUUUAAACGGGAGGACAGCGGGAUAGAAGUAAAAAUACGGGAUAAUCCCGGGAAAACGUGAGUGUUGACAGGUAUGGUGGUCAUCCUGUAUGGAUCCAAGCAUUAAACUGCACAACAAAAACUGGAGAGUUGACAUUUCAGGGUUAAACAUUUCCGAGUUGAUUUCAACUCAAGAAGUGUUACUUUAACAUUUUCUGAUUGAAAUGUUUUUUAUGGUUGGAGUUAUUUCACUGUUCAUCAUGUCAGAGUUAGACCAACUCUGCAGAGACGUGAUUAAGCUCCGCCCCUGUAUUUCACCGCUUCGGUUGGAGACGAGUCCACGAUAAAUCAGCUCGAUUUUCUCUCCUCAUGCAGUUGACAGGUAAAAAUGUUGGUCCAGGUGAAGUACAGACAACAGCAGAAGUAUGUGAAAUUGGAUGCAGUUGAAGGACAGUUUGACUUUCUACAAUUCAAUGAAAAAGGUGGAUCAAGACUUCACCCUCUAUUUGAUCAUGAAACAUCCUCCAGGCUCCUUCAGAAAUGGGAUGUGUUCUUCAGUCCAAAUGUCAUAAGAGGCUAA
Molecule: long non-coding RNA, 621 nt
Filed under: Cottoperca gobio
Lineage: Eukaryota; Metazoa; Chordata; Actinopteri; Perciformes; Bovichtidae
Description: lncRNA (ENSCGOG00000024490.1)
Source: RNAcentral